CCUACGGGAGACUGCAGUGAGGAAUAUUGGUCAAUGGCCGGAAGGCUGAACCAGCCAAGCCGCGUGAAGGACGAAGGUGCCAAGCAUUGUAAACUUCUUUUGUCAAGGGACAAAAUCAGGCUCGAGAGCCUGACCGAGGGUACUUGAAGAAAAAGCAUCGGCUAACUCCGUGCCAGCAGCCGCGGUAAUACGGAGGAUGCGAGCGUUAUCCGGAUUUAUUGGGUUUAAAGGGUGCGUAGGCGGACUGUUAAGUCAGCGGUAAAAGCCCGGGGCUCAACCCCGGCGAGCCGUUGAAACUGGCGGUCUUGAGAUGUCGAGAGGUAUGCGGAAUGCGCAGUGUAGCGGUGAAAUGCUUAGAUAUUGCGCAGAACUCCGAUUGCGAAGGCAGCAUACCGGCGGCGAUCUGACGCUGGGGCACGAAAGCGUGGGUAUCGAACAGGAUUAGAUACCCUGGUAGUC
Molecule: ribosomal RNA, 459 nt
Filed under: uncultured bacterium
Lineage: Bacteria
Description: partial 16S ribosomal RNA
Rfam family: Bacterial small subunit ribosomal RNA
Source: RNAcentral